RNAcentral lists this transfer RNA (73 nucleotides) under Candidatus Obscuribacterales bacterium. RNAcentral describes it as "tRNA-Arg". It matches the Rfam family "tRNA". Rfam says of the family: Transfer RNA (tRNA) molecules are approximately 80 nucleotides in length. Their secondary structure includes four short double-helical elements and three loops (D, anti-codon, and T loops). The record is from RNAcentral. Lineage: Bacteria; Bacillati; Candidatus Melainabacteria; Candidatus Obscuribacterales.
GCGCUCGUAGCUCAGCGGAUAGAGCACCCGCCUUCUAAGCGGGUGGUCAUUGGUUCGAAUCCAAUCGGGCGCA